This 1510-nucleotide ribosomal RNA is filed under the name metagenome. RNAcentral's name for it is "bacterial LSU rRNA". It matches the Rfam family "Bacterial large subunit ribosomal RNA", at positions 1277 to 2915 of the family's 2925-position model. The record is from RNAcentral.
CUAGAUCAGAAGCGAGAAUGUUGACAUGAGUAGCGACAAACAGGGUGAGAAACCCUUUCGCCGAGAGUCCAAGGGUUCCUGCUUAAAGCUAAUCUGAGCAGGGUAAGCCGGCCCCUAAGGCGAGGCCGAAAGGCGUAGUCGAUGGGAACCAGGUUAAUAUUCCUGGGCCAGUGGGAUGUGACGGAUCGCAGAUGUAGUUUGCCCUUAUCGGAUUGGGUGGGCUGCUGAGCGGUUCCAGGAAAUAGCCCCACAUCAGACCGUACCCUAAACCGACACAGGUGGACUGGUAGAGUAUACCAAGGCGCUUGAGAGAACCACGUUAAAGGAACUCGGCAAAAUGCCUCCGUAAGUUCGCGAGAAGGAGGCCCCAUAUGUACGCAAGUAUGUGUGGGGGGCACAAACUAGGGGGUGGCGACUGUUUACUUAAAACACAGGGCUGUGCGAAGCCGUAAGGCGACGUAUACAGUCUGACGCCUGCCCGGUGCUGGAAGAUUAAGAGGAGGGGUGCAAGCUCUGAAUUGAAGUCCCAGUAAACGGCGGCCGUAACAAUAACGGUCCUAAGGUAGCGAAAUUCCCUGUCGGGUAAGUUCCGACCUGCACGAAUGGCGUAACGAUCUCCCCGCUGCCUCUAACGUGGACUCAGCGAAAUUGAACUGUGUGUCAAGAUGCACACUACCCGCGGUUAGACGGAAAGACCCCAUGAACCUUUACUCCAGCUUUGCACUGGUAUCAGGAUUGUGAUGUGCAGUAUAGGUGGUAGGCAUUGAAGCGGGGACGCCAGUCUUCGUGGAGCCUCCCUUGAGAUACCACCCUUCGCCAUCUUGAUAUCUAACCGCGGCCCGUUAUCCGGGUCCGGGACCCUGCAUGGUGGGGUGUUUGACUGGGGCGGUCGCCUCCCAAACAGUAACGGAGGCGCGCGAUGGUUGGCUCAGACCGGUCGGAAAUCGGUCGUUGAGUGCAAUGGCAGAAGCCAGCCUGACUGCAAGACUGACAAGUCGAGCAGAGACGAAAGUCGGUCAUAGUGAUCCGGUGGUCCCAAGUGGGAGGGCCAUCGCUCAACGGAUAAAAGGUACUCUGGGGAUAACAGGCUGAUGAUGCCCAAGAGUCCAUAUCGACGGCAUCGUUUGGCACCUCGAUGUCGGCUCAUCUCAUCCUGGGGCUGGAGCAGGUCCCAAGGGUAUGGCUGUUCGCCAUUUAAAGAGGUACGUGAGCUGGGUUUAGAACGUCGUGAGACAGUUCGGUCCCUAUCUGCCGUGGGUGCAGGAGACUUGAGAAGAGUUGACCCUAGUACGAGAGGACCGGGUUGAACGAACCACUGGUGGACCAGUUAUCGUGCCAACGGUAGUGCUGGGUAGCUAUGUUCGGACAGGAUAACCGCUGAAGGCAUCUAAGCGGGAAGCCCCCUUCAAAACAAGGUCUCCCUUGAGGGCCGUGGAAGACGACCACGUCGAUAGGCCAGAGGUGUAAGUGCAGCAAUGCAUUCAGCUGACUGGUACUAAUUGCUCAAAAA